Molecule: ribosomal RNA, 1015 nt
Filed under: Scytosiphon sp. 6lomentaria
Lineage: Eukaryota; Phaeophyceae; Ectocarpales; Scytosiphonaceae
Description: eukaryotic LSU rRNA
Rfam family: 5.8S ribosomal RNA (bases 535-689)
Source: RNAcentral
UUUCCGUAGGUGAACCUGCGGAAGGAUCAUUACCGAAACGUCCGGGAAACAGGACGCUAAACAUGCCACGCGGACCAGCGUUCGCAUCUACUUCUCGUAUUUGUCAGCUCUUCUCCCUUCUUUCUGUCGCACAGGGAUCUCGGCGCCAAUUCUUUCUGGGCGCCGGGCUCCUCCAGGGACACUUUUCCUUCUGCCGGCCUUGGGUGGUCUUCGGGGGUGCUCUGCAAAAACCAACGCGGGCUCUGGUAGUAGGCGCAAUCGGGCGGAAGCUUUGGAGGCGCGCGGCUGUCGGGGACCGGAUCGGAGCGGAGAGCAUGCUGGAGGCGCGCAGGGCUUGGGGGGGGGCGGGUGUGUCUCAGACACAGAACCCCGUGAAACUAAAAUCGUUAUGCGAUGUCGGGCGAGGGGCGUCUCGCCGAGCUCUUCGUGAGCUCGAACCAAAGCGUUACCCACAAACCACACCAAACUCUGAAUCUGAACUCAAAAGGAGGCGCCGCGCUCCGCGUCGCGCCUUCUCAACCUUUAACGUUGUAAAACUUUCAGCGACGGAUGUCUUGGCUCCCACAACGAUGAAGAACGCAGCGAAAUGCGAUACGUCUUGCGACUUGCAGAAUCCAGUGAAUCAUCAAAACUUUGAACGCAUCUUGCGCUUCCGGGAUAUGCCUGGGAGCAUGCUUGUCGGAGUGUCUGUUGACACCCCUCGCCCCCCCGUCUUUUGUUAUCUCUCACGAGAAAGAAGAGGCGAGAGGGCGGACUCUGCGUGUUCCGGAGCGCGAGCUCCGAGUGCACCGAACCUCGUGAACGCGAGACCUCUACUGCUGACUGACUGCACAGAGUUGUUGACGGCGCGUCUGCUUCGGCGGCGCGACUCCUCUACUCGCCACGUGCCUUGAGUUUCUGUAGUGGUCGUAGUUCCGGUUGCGCGCCCCUCCUCCUCCUUUUUGGGGGCGGCGGGCGCACUACCCCAACUUUCGUUCGGACCUCCGAUCAAGCAAGAGGACCCGCUGAAUUUAAG